This 195-nucleotide small RNA is filed under the name Arabidopsis thaliana (thale cress). RNAcentral describes it as "ATSL253990". Lineage: Eukaryota; Viridiplantae; Streptophyta; Magnoliopsida; Brassicales; Brassicaceae. The record is from RNAcentral.
AUACAAUGAAUUUCUAACUCUUCCAGUGCGAAAAAAUGAAGGCUAUAAUAUACAUUUUAUUAUAUAAAGUAUGGUUUUGAAAAUUACUAACUCAUAGAAUUAUGCCAUGUGUCAAGUUUAUCGAUCAGAUGUUGACACGUGUAAGAAAAUAAUUAACUUUUUUCUUCUUAAAGAAAUAGAAAUACUAAAAAAAAA